RNAcentral lists this ribosomal RNA (175 nucleotides) under uncultured bacterium. Its description in RNAcentral is "partial 16S ribosomal RNA". It matches the Rfam family "Bacterial small subunit ribosomal RNA", at positions 1326 to 1500 of the family's 1533-position model. The record is from RNAcentral.
UUGGAAUUGCUAGUAAUCGCGGAUCAGCAUGCCGCGGUGAAUACGUUCCCGGGCCUUGUACACACCGCCCGUCACACCAUGGAAGUCGGUAAUGCCCGAAGUCAGUAGCCUAACCGCAAGGAGGACGCUGCCGAAGGCAGGAUUGAUGACUGGGGUGAAGUCGUAACAAGGUAAC